UCCCUUUCCACCCCCCACUCCCCCGCCUUGAAUUAAAUUGUUUUCUUUUUCUGGGAGGUUCAGUUCGAGGGAAGUUUUGCUCCGGAGCCGGGGUCGGGGCUGAGGAGGGAUGGAGCAGACGGAAAGUUGCGGUGGUGGGAGGAGGCGGGGGGCGAGGGCAGUACGGGACCCCGGCGGCGCCCGGACCGCGGGGGGAGCAGGGGCGCGGGGGACCUGCCGCCGCUGCCGGCUCUUUGUCUGCUCGGGCAACUUGAACAAAAGGAGAAACUCGGAUGAACUCUCCAUCUCUCCGUCGCCUCUCCCGGGUUAACUCAUCUUCGGCAACUUUAUCCGAAGAGAUUUACUCAACUUUCUUCGAGCUCUCCCGCAGCUUAAAAGCAAAGAGCCUCGCCGUAGGUUUCUAAGGAAAUCUGGUUUCACAGUUUAGAGAAAAGGAGAAGGUCACAACAUGAUAGUUGGGAAAAUGGAAUGGUUGCCAGAACAUCAGUCUGUGAUGGAUGCCAUAUUGCAUUACCCUUCAAAUGGUGGAAUACAGUUUGGGAUUCCUCAGACCUGCUUAACGUGGUUCAAGAUGGAACUUACAGCUGCUUAACGUUUUAGCUGUUUGGAUCCAUGGUUAUGGUUAAUGGUUUCCUGGGUGAAGAGUCCCAUGCUGAAACUUGUGGAUAUUGUAGAACAUGCUGCUGAGACCCAUUUGGAUUAUACUGCCAUCUGACAUCAAGGUUUUGCAGCUGAUGAAAGGAGUUUACCAGAUCUUUUUUAUGUGGUUGCUGAAGCAUUGCCCUGGGACAGCAGUAAUGAUGGAUGGAGGAACAGAACACACUUCAGAGCUAUCUGAAACUGGCUUUCUUUGUUCACUCCAGCUGUCAGCAGAUUUCAAGGUAUGUCUGUGUUUGAAGAAGUUAUCAUAGAUAUUGGUGACAGCUGGGCUUUGAAAUGUUCUUUGCAGUCAACACAAA
This 959-nucleotide long non-coding RNA is filed under the name Parus major (Great Tit). Its description in RNAcentral is "lncRNA (ENSPMJG00000018182.1)". Lineage: Eukaryota; Metazoa; Chordata; Aves; Passeriformes; Paridae. The record is from RNAcentral.